Ochotona curzoniae (black-lipped pika) is the source of this 3168-nucleotide long non-coding RNA. RefSeq lists it as uncharacterized. The record is from RefSeq and is a predicted model, not a curated record. NCBI's taxonomy places the organism in Eukaryota, Metazoa, Chordata, Mammalia, Lagomorpha, Ochotonidae. The transcript is spliced from 2 exons.
AAGGGCUUUAGCCACUAUGUUAUCACGCUGGGCCCAAAGUUGAUCAUUUUAAUACUGCUUUUUAAAAACCUUGGUUAGAAGAUGCACUUUAAGUUGUUUCCAAUUUAAAGUUCCCUCUGGUUGAGCGCUUUUAUCUGGCAGUGUGUAGUUUGACAAGGCAUUACUACUCGCAAUACUGCUGAUAUGUUUCAGGUUUCUUUCAGUACUGCAAGCUCUGAAGCUCUGAAGAGAUGUAUUUGUAAGUUAGAAAGUCUCAAAGUGAAAAGAGUGAGCUUACACUGUGUUCCCCACAAACGAGCAAUAGUCUGGGCGAAAAGGAAGAAGAGCAAUCAGAAACCUUCAUUUCUAGUUGGAGUGACAAGCUGUUUGUUUUUUUCUGUUCUGGUUAUUUUCCCUCCUAAGUUUAUUUUUAUUUACUGAUGUGUUAGUGAGAAAGAAGAUGUCCCCAUGUACUGCCUCCGGCCCCAGAUGCCUGUGCUAGGUUGGGCUGAGACGAAGCUGGGAGCUGAAUGCAGGUCUUUCCCGAGGAUGGCAGGAACCCAGGACUGAGCCAUCAUGGCUGCUCUCUAGGGUCUGUGUUAGCAGGCAUCGGGAGCCGGAGCUAGGGGCGACACCCAGCAUCUUAGAUGUGGGACACAGACGUCUUAACUGCUAGACUGAGAGCCACGCUCCACAGCGCAAACUUCAUGCAUUUGUGUAUUAUCCUUGUGUGGGGGAGCUGCUAAUCUCUGUGUUGGCUGGUUUUAUUCUCUGUAUUGUUCCAAGGCAGCCACUCCCAUUAUAUUUUCAGCUCAGACCAUUCUGAUGGGUUAAAGUAGAAAGGGUCUCAAAACAAUCCAGAUGGGAUUCUAGGUCCUUAAAGGAAACUCGCAUACCAUGACAAGGGGAGCUGUUAUGCCCAAGCUCAGAGGUGCCUUUUGACCAUAAGUUUGAGGGUCUGAUUUACCAGCACAUUGGAGGGAUAAAGCCAGAGGUCAGUAGAGGUCAGAAGGACGCCCUCAGGAAUGAUGCAGAAAGCCUGAGGAUGCAGAACCCCUCUGGGCAGAUUGAGCCCCAAACCUUAGAGGAAUAACCUCAGUAGCCUUCGGCCCCCUGGCAGCAUGGCGCAGUAGUGGCAGUGGCUGGAUGCUGCUGCUGGCCAGCGUCCUGAGUCAGGAUCUGACUGCACAGUCCCACUCAGGAGCAUCAGCUCCCAGCCCAGAGACUGCUUUCUGCUGAACAGGCCUCUCGGCCACACUGCUGUCAAGCGGAGAACUCUCCAUUUGGUGCCUCAUGAUUCGGGGCUCUUGGCACUGUUUGUUCUUGACUGUGCUGAAAAGGGAAAGUGUAAGAGUUUCUGGUUUAUUGCUUAGUAACUAGCUCUUGAGCUGCCACCUCCAUAAAAAGUUACUCUGCCAUUAACCUUUGUCAUUAAUUUACCUGUUGAGAUAAAUCUCCUUUAAAUGUAAGGUUGAAAGCUUCAAGGGCAUUGGAUAAUUCCAGAAGAUUGUAUAAUUUUCUGCUUGUCUUAGAGAUGGGUCUGAAAGGCAAAAGGAUGAGCAACAGGCUGCAUUAGAAAGAACCCGUGGCAGGACAUGUUGGAGAGAUGCUUGCAGACCUUUGCUCUGGGCAGCCCUUCCUCCUGUAGAUGUGGGGCCAGGCAAGGCCUGGGGGUCCCAAGUCUCGGCCAGGGAAUUUCUUGCUCAGUGUUCCAAGCUGAGUCUCAGCCCCUCCCUCUGCACAGCAGCACCUGCCGGUUUGUGGAAUCGUCACUUGCCUCACUGUAAUUCCACUUAAGAGUCCAGUAUUUCCUGGACUUUUUUUUUUUAAACAUUGGGUUUUCUUGUGUGAUCUAGCAAUGAAUAAAACAUAAGAAUUUGUUAUGUUAGUUUAUGUUCUGGUUGAGACCAUAAACAAAGACUGCCAUGAAUUAUAGUGCUAAGCAAAAAGGUGGGGGACAGCAGGUGUAGUGUGGCUGGCUGCUUUGCAGGUGUUGGUCACCGGGGGCCUGUGGUGGUAGCUCCAUCGAGGGAGGCACACAGCCAGUGCAGCAUGGGCCCUGCCUGGCACAGAGUGCCCAGAGCUCUGAAGGGCUUCGCUAGAGAGAGCCAGAAAUCAGGCGUGGCUGAGGCCUGCAGACACGCACCAGGGUGAUGGAGGACAGCGAUUCUUUGUCUUGGACUCGCUUGUCUCCAUUGAUUCGAGCAGGAUGAAAUCCUCUCGGGGCGGGGCUUGGUUUACUUGCACAGAGGUGUGUGGUGCUGCCGUGCAGAACACAGCUGCCAAGUGUACAGAGGGGCUCGGUGUAAGCUGGCACCCUGCUGUUUUACCAGCUGCUUGGCAGGCAUUCGGUCUUCCUGUCCGUGACCUGCAGAGGAGUACGUGUUUGGAGAGUAGUUGGAUUUAGGAAGAUAGGAAGACUUUGUGUUGAUGAAACAGAGAGAAGUAGAAGAAAUUCUUUGUAUGUGGUGUCGUGUGGCUAAGCGAUGGUCUGUGUGGAAACAGCGCAGGGUGUUCAGCUGCCUGAGAGGAGGGGCUGCGGCUGCCUGGGGCUCCAGGGGAUGCACUGCUGACCGGGAACAGUGUGUGCUGAGCUGUGCUGGGGCAGGGCAUAGCUGUGGAGAGGGAUGGUAAAGGACAGGGCUGCCCCGCUGUGCCCGUGCACCAGGAGGCCACCGGAAGCAGUAGCUCAUCCAGCGUCACCUCCUUCUCACACCCCUACACCUGUCCUGGCCCUAGCCUGCCAGUAUGGCCAUCUUCUUGGCCCUGCUGAAUGGGCUGGUCCACCCUCAUGAGUUGCUCCUUUUUGUUGUCAGCCCUGGUGCGAACCAGCCACAGCGGCCUCCUCCAUGGCCUCCUGCUUUCUUUCAGUGCCAAGUCACAACAGAGUUUCAGAGGCAGUUUCUGUUUCUGUUCCUCUGAACUCACCUCUCAGUUGCAGUGUGCUCACUCUGGACCAAGUAUGCUCCCCUGCACUGAAACCUUUCCCUUGGCUGCUCUCUUUUCUUCUGAAAAGCUAACAGUUAUGCAAAAGACUGUCUCUCCUACUCAGGCUGAGGAACUUUAUGUUACGCAUGUCUCGUGCGGUUGACCAUUGCCUAGGUAGGAGCUCUGACUGGGGCGGGCACCGUUGUCAUCUUACGUCAUCAGCGCCUUCUCAGGCCACCCUGUGCCUUUGGUAAACUCAAG